GGAAAACAUAUGGCCCAUUAUGAACUAUUAAGAUUCUUAUGAUAAGCAAUUUAACAUAAGAUAUAUAAGAUUUAACAAAGUACGCACCCGUACUACUGACUAAAUAUAAUUGCAUAAGACCCCACUUAUCAAUAUAUAUUUUUUAACCCUAACUCGGCAACUAGCAUUGGUUUCAGCAUCCUCUGAGGACACUACGAUGGACAAGAACACCAUCUUCAGAGGCUGCUGUGCUCAAAUGCUUUCAGAGAUGUAAUAAUACGAGUAUACAUAAAUUACUUAUUUUCAUGCUCAUCUGAGAGGCCCAUAGCUGGGAUUUACCUUUACUUGGCACAUGUCCGUCAUGUGAUCUUUCUUCAUUCUCUGUGUGCGUGGCACCCACCAUGAGGGGAGGAUUUAAACCCAUUUUAUAAGAAGGGCAAAAACCCAUCCCCAACAAAUGACUCCACAGUGUCCCUUCAUUUCAAAGCUUAAAA
This 473-nucleotide unclassified non-coding RNA is filed under the name Hevea brasiliensis (rubber tree). Lineage: Eukaryota; Viridiplantae; Streptophyta; Magnoliopsida; Malpighiales; Euphorbiaceae. The record is from RNAcentral.